AAUUUACCAGGGCCGUCCUCCAGUUGGUGCUCCAGAAAAGGUGAAAAUGACUUUAAGAGUAGAUAAAUUGGAUUGGACUGCCCCUCAGUGGAGAAAUGCGGAUGUGUUGAUUUUCAACUCUGGUCAUUGGUGGAAUUAUGAGAAGACCAUAAGAGUGGAUUGCUACUUCCAAGAGGGGGAUGAGGUAAAGAUGGAUAUGAGCGUUGAAACUGCAUACCGAAGAUCACUUGAAACUUUGAUUGAUUGGAC
Molecule: unclassified non-coding RNA, 249 nt
Filed under: Hevea brasiliensis (rubber tree)
Lineage: Eukaryota; Viridiplantae; Streptophyta; Magnoliopsida; Malpighiales; Euphorbiaceae
Source: RNAcentral